GCCCCGAAUGCCCGGCAAGGGGCUGCUUCCAUCCCAGUGUAGGGCCACUGCAGGCACAUGUUCCCCCUGCCCCUGCUCCUGAGUGGAAGGCAGAGCUGAGGGAGUACCUUGGAGGGCAUCAAUCACCCAGGUGCCCUCACUGCCACUCAGGCCUGAAAGAGAAAUGGAGCAAUUUUCCAUUAAGGUCCUCCUACAAUGAAGAAGGAAGAGAUGGCAGGCCGUGGUGGGUACAUUUCCCUCAACCUACCCCUGUGUCGCAGCAGCCGGGGGCUUUGGCAACACAGCGGGAAGGGAUCCAUGGCAGCCUCACUGCCCCGCUGCUGCUUUCACACCCUGCAGGGCUGUUUCCCAGCCUGGCUUGACUGCAGCUUCUGCCCAGCCCCUGCAGGAAGGCAUUUGGCAUGUGCUGCCAGGCAACCCAAACUGCACCAUGGGCCAUUCCCACCCAGAGAUCCCUUGCAAUUUCCCAGUCUCUGAGCACAUGUGGAGGGGCAGCUCCAUGGAGGAGGGAGGACCCUGGCCCAGACCUAACAACCUGGCCAUCUUCCUGAGCAUUAUCCAUGACUUCACAAGUACUGAUUCCUGAUGAUGCAACCCUCCACAAUGCUGAAUGGUUCCAUCUGGUCCAGCUGUACUUUUUCCUUUCCACAGCAAUGGAGCAAAAGUCCAUGCAGAUGGCGCCAUAUCAUACUGGAAGCAAUGGCUCUGUGUCAGAUUCUCAUGGAGGAAAGGAGGAGUUGCCAGACAUGAGCAAAGGCAUAGGAGAUGCAGCCGGCACCACAACACGUAUUUCCAAUGCCCAGGAUGGCCUCGGAAGGGGUUUCUAUCAGGAAACAGGCUACUGGCUAGCAAUACUGGCAUUUUUGCUUUGUUUGGAGCUUGUCUUCGUGUUGUGCUUGUUUGGAAUCCGGUAUUUGGAAUCGGGAAGAGAAAACAAUGCUCCUGUGCAUCGUCAGCAGAUGUGCCUAAGAACACAGGCAGCGGGAGGUUGACAGUUUAUCCCAGCUCUCCACUUCUGCCCCUAUCUGCCCUGCCAUGGCUGCAGCAGCGUCAGGAGGCCGUCCCAAAACCCACCCCUCCACAACAAGACCCUCUGCCCCUCAGCCUCCUGGUCCUGUUCCCCGGCCAGGAAUGAAGGUGGGCAUCCCCUGUCUGCCAGGGCAGGGCUUGGCCCAUAUUUCAUAUUCAAAUAAAAGAAUAAAGUUUUCACAA
Molecule: long non-coding RNA, 1212 nt
Organism: Passer domesticus (house sparrow)
Lineage: Eukaryota; Metazoa; Chordata; Aves; Passeriformes; Passeridae
Exons: 3
Source: RefSeq, a predicted model, not a curated record